AUUGAACGCUGGCGGCAGGCCUAACACAUGCAAGUCGAGCGCGAAAGUCUUCGGAUGAGUAAAGCGGCGAACGGGUGAGUAACGCGUGGGAAUCUGCCCAGUAGUGGGGGACAACAGCCGGAAACGGCUGCUAAUACCGCAUACGCCCUACGGGGGAAAGGGGGGGAUCUUCGGACCUCUCGCUAUUGGAUGAGCCCGCGUCGGAUUAGCUAGUUGGUGAGGUAAAGGCGAACCAAGGAGACGAUCCGUAACUGGUCUGAGAGGAUGAUCAGUCACACUGGAACUGAGACACGGGCCAGACUCCUACGGGAGGCAGCAGUGGGGAAUAUUUGACAAUGGGGGCAACCCUGAUCCAGCCAUGCCGCGUGUGUGAAGAAGGCCCUAGGGUUGUAAAGCACUUUCAGUGGGGAGAAAAGUGAUUCACCUAAUACGUGAGUCAAUUGAUGUUACCCACAGAAGAAGCACCGGCUAACUCCGUGCCAGCAGCCGCGGUAA
RNAcentral lists this ribosomal RNA (495 nucleotides) under uncultured bacterium. RNAcentral's name for it is "partial 16S ribosomal RNA". It matches the Rfam family "Bacterial small subunit ribosomal RNA", at positions 30 to 523 of the family's 1533-position model. The record is from RNAcentral.